Molecule: ribosomal RNA, 950 nt
Filed under: Ustilago sparsa
Lineage: Eukaryota; Fungi; Basidiomycota; Ustilaginomycetes; Ustilaginales; Ustilaginaceae
Description: LSU rRNA
Rfam family: Eukaryotic large subunit ribosomal RNA
Source: RNAcentral
GCAUAUCAAUAAGCGGAGGAAAAGAAACUAACAAGGAUUCCCCUAGUAACGGCGAGUGAAGAGGGAAGAGCCCAAGAUUGAAAGCUGGCGUCUUCGGCGUCCGCAUUGUAAUCUCAAGAAGUGUUUUCCGUUUCGGACCAUGCCUAAGUCUCUUGGAAAAGAGCAUCAUAGAGGGUGAUAAUCCCGUACAUGGCAUGGAGCGCCCGAGACUUUGUGAUACGCUUUCUAAGAGUCGAGUUGUUUGGGAAUGCAGCUCAAAAUGGGUGGUAAAUGCCAUCUAAGGCUAAAUAUUGGGGAGAGACCGAUAGCGAACAAGUACAGUGAUGGAAAGAUGAAAAGAACUUUGAAAAGAGAGUUAAACAGUACGUGAAAUUGCCAAAAGGGAAGGGUAGGAGGUCAGAGAUGCGUUCUGGGAUUCAGCCUUGCUUUUGCUUGGUGUUUUUCCCAGAUGGCAGGCCAACGUCGGUUUUGGGCGCUGGAGAAGGGUGGAAGGAAUGUGGCACCUCUCGGGGUGUGUUAUAGCCUUCUACUGGAUACAGUGACCGAGACCGAGGACAGCAGCGUACUCGCAAGAGCGGGCCUUCGGGCACCUUUACGCUUAGGGCGUUGGCAUAAUGGCCCUCUACCACCCGUCUUGAAACACGGACCAAGGAGUCUAACAUGUAUGCGAGUCUUUGGGUGGCAAACCCAUAGGCGCAAUGAAAGUGAAUUCAGGUGGGAUCCGCAAGGUGCACCAUCGACCGAUCCUCACGUCUUUUAAGUCGUGGAUUUGAGUAAGAGCAUACCUGUUGGGACCCGAAAGAUGGUGAACUAUGCCUGAAUAGGGUGAAGCCAGAGGAAACUCUGGUGGAGGCUCGUAGCGGUUCUGACGUGCAAAUCGAUCGUCAAAUUUGGGUAUAGGGGGCGAAAGACUAAUCGAACCAUCUAGUAGCUGGGUUCCUGCCGAAGUU